RNAcentral lists this ribosomal RNA (1222 nucleotides) under metagenome. Its description in RNAcentral is "bacterial LSU rRNA". It matches the Rfam family "Bacterial large subunit ribosomal RNA", at positions 1219 to 2459 of the family's 2925-position model. The record is from RNAcentral.
AAUACAUUGGUAGAGGAGCAUUCUUAAAGGAAUGAAGCAGUACCGAUAAGGAGCUGUGGACUUUUAAGAAGAGAGAAUGCCGGAAUGAGUAGCGAGAUGGAGGUGGGAAUCCUCCAGGCCGAAUAUCCAAGGUUUCCAGAGUAAAGCUGAUCUGCUCUGGGUAAGUCGGGGCCUAAGGUAAGGCUGAGAAGCGUAGCCGAUGGACAACAGGUUGAGAUUCCUGUACCGCGUAUCAUCAGAACUGUGGGGACACAGAAGGACAGCACAACCCGGGAAUGGAAAGACCGGGGCAAGCAGGGUAGGAGUUAAGCUGGCAAAUCCGCUUAACAAUCCGAAGCUGUGAUGCGGAGCGAAUUUAAGUAGUGAAGUGUGCGAUUCCGGCUGUCAAGAAAAGCCGCUAUUGUGUGAUACGUGCCCGUACCGUAAACCGACACAGGUAGAUGAGGAGAGAAUCCUAAGGCCGGCGGGAGAAGCAUUGUUAAGGAACUCGGCAAAAUGACCCUGUAACUUCGGGAGAAAGGGUGCCUGGGAAACCAGGCCGCAGAGAAUAGGCUCAAGCAACUGUUUAGCAAAAACACAGGUCUAUGCAAAACCGUAAGGUGAGGUAUAUGGGCUGACGCCUGCCCGGUGCUGGAAGGUUAAGAGGAGGGGUUAGCGCAAGCGAAGCUCUGAAUUGAAGCCCCAGUAAACGGCGGCCGUAACUAUAACGGUCCUAAGGUAGCGAAAUUCCUUGUCGGGUAAGUUCCGACCCGCACGAAAGGCGUAAUGAUUUGAGCGCUGUCUCGACAAUGCACCCGGUGAAAUUGAAAUACCAGUGAAGAUGCUGGUUACCUGCGCCAGGACGGAAAGACCCCAUGGAGCUUUACUCCAGCUUGAUACUGGGAUUCGGUACUGCAUGUACAGGAUAGGUGGGAGACUGAGAACUAUGAACGCCAGUUUGUAGGGAGUCGCUGUUGGGAUACCACCCUUGCGGUAUUGGAUUUCUAACCUGCAGCCGUGAACCGGCUGGGGGACAAUGUCAGGCGGGGAGUUUGACUGGGGCGGUCGCCUCCGAAAGGGUAUCGGAGGCGCUCAAAGGUUCCCUCAUAAUGGUUGGAAACCAUUAGAAGAGUGCAAAGGCAUAAGGGAGCUUGACUGCGACACCGACGGGUGGAGCAGGUAGGAAACUAGGACUUAGUGAUCCGGUGGUAUGAAAGUGGGAUUGCCAUCGCUCAACGGAUAA